This 253-nucleotide ribosomal RNA is filed under the name uncultured bacterium. RNAcentral describes it as "partial 16S ribosomal RNA". It matches the Rfam family "Bacterial small subunit ribosomal RNA", at positions 524 to 776 of the family's 1533-position model. The record is from RNAcentral.
UACGUAGGGAGCAAGCGUUGUCCGGAAUCAUUGGGCGUAAAGCGCGCGUAGGUGGCCCUGUAAGUCCGUUGUGAAAGUCAAAGGCUCAACCUUUGAAAGCCGAUGGAUACUGCAGGACUAGAGUACGGAAGAGGCGAGUGGAAUUCCCGGUGUAGCGGUGAAAUGCGCAGAUAUCGGGAGGAACACCAAUGGCGAAGGCAGCUCGCUGGGACGUUACUGACGCUGAGACGCGAAAGCGUGGGGAGCAAACAGG